RNAcentral lists this long non-coding RNA (13186 nucleotides) under Xyrichtys novacula (pearly razorfish). The record is from RNAcentral. Lineage: Eukaryota; Metazoa; Chordata; Actinopteri; Labriformes; Labridae.
GUGUACUUUUUACCACUUAAACUUUCAUGGUAGAGUUUGUUUUGAAUGCUCUGUACUCUUGCUGGUUCCCAGUGUGCUUGGAGAAGGGGGGUAUGGUUGUCUGAGUAGGUUUGUUCGGGAGCUGGGUGGCAGACAGAGGGUCUGGUAGCUGAAGGAGGAUGUGGGUAGAGUCUGCCCAGACAGAUGGAGGGAAACGAUGGAGAGAUGGAGCGAUACAAGAGGACUGAGUCUGAGAGAAUGUUCUUCUCCUCCUUCUCUCUGUCCUGACAUAGCUUGUGAAUGGACCUCCAUUGUCUGUGUUAGGACUUCUUGGAUGUUGACCCUUCUCCAGAGGUCAGAAGGGGCACAGUGUAGAUGAGAGAGCGCAUAAUUGCAGCAUAAACACAAAGAGUGGCCCACUGAGAGGCCCAGACACUGGGCCAGUUUGACCCCUACAAGGCUGUACGAUAAUGUGUCACUGUGUGUGCUGUUUGUUUGAUCUAUUAUUUGUUGAAAACUUCUUAUGAUAGAAGGCAAAAGAAGUUACUGCAUUGUUUUCCGAGUAGAGGAGGGAAAGUUCUGUUCAAAAGUAGAUGGACAGACAAUUUGGCUGGUAAACAGAUAAAUGGAUAGACAUACAGUUGAAUUAGUGGCAUUUACUCCCAUGGACCCUGUAAUUGUUUGCACCGUGUUCUUUUUUGAUAAAUCGAUUGUUCAGGAUUGUUAUGCCAUCCUUUUCAGGUAAAUUUCAUGGCAAUCAGUUUUGUGGUACAUCUCCUCACACUACAAAAGUGUUUGAGACAGAUAUAGUGGCAUAUUUACAGUGACAUAUACUAUUUCAGUGUAAUCAUUGAAGGUGACAGGACAGUGCAGAGCUUCAUGUGUGUGAAGCUUGUGCUGCUUUUUUACUCAUCGUGCCUUUGGGCUUGCUCCUUGCCAAAAUACCAUUAAAUAGUUUGACAUAACCAAUAGUAUACUUUUGUGGGGUUCUGUGUAGAAGUACACAGACAGAGUAGUGAUGGUGCUAAAUUACAGUGCUGGGGUAGAGUUAGGGUGACCAUAUUCUGAAUCCCCAAAAAGAGGACACGCAGGGGCGGAGUUACGGAGUUACGGAGUUACGGAGUUGUGCGUAGUUAAUUUUGAGAGUUUUCUGGGUCGGGUUAAGUGUUUUUUAUGCGCUUCUAACUCAGCAAGUUCAUGCAACAGAAACUCAUAACUUCCAUACAAAACCCCGGACAUUUGAAAGAUUCUAUAAACUUAACAAGACAAAGCCAAUCUUUAAUAAUAAUAUAAUAAUCUUUCUCCCUCUGUUGAACAUUUCCUUGAACAUACCCUUUCACCAUUUGUUUAUUAUCAACAUUGCUGUACAGCUGUUGGUGAUAAAAAGAUGCAAGGGAAGCUACUAAAUUAAGACAAGAGAAGAGGAUGAGGUGUGUGUGUGUGUGUGUGUGUGUGUGUGUGUGUGUGUGUGUGUUUUGCAGUGGAGUUGACAUUGAGCCAUCCUUGGCAUUUCAAACUUGGGCAUUGUGCCUAUAGGUCCCAGUGGAGUUGAGGUUUUGUGUGUGUGUGUGUGUGUGUGUGUGUGUGUGUGUGUGUGUGUGUGUGUGUGUGUGUGUGUGUGUGUGUGUGUGUGUGUGUGUUGACAUCUCUGCUGUGUUUGGGUGGAUCUGCAGUCUAGUUGGCUCUCUCUGGUCAGUGUGUCAGUCAGUGUGUGUCGUGUGAGAGGGCACGCUCGUUGCAUCUGAAACCUCCGGGCUGACGGCCGGCGGGCACGGCUCAGCCACUGCUGCUCCACCUGGCUGAUUGAUACGGGCCUGUUUGAAGUCCUCUCAGGGAGAAAGAGCUCUAUUCAUGAGUUGCUGGUCCCUCCACACAGCCUGCCCCACCUCUCACUGCUGUCCCUCCACUCUGUUAACAGCUGAAAUGUUACCCUGCUCAUAGAGGUAUGAGGCUGAGGUGGACAUACAGCCACAUGAUAGACAGCCUCAAAAUGAUCAUCUGUGGAGCUCCUAGCUUUAGUGUUCAGCUCUCUUUAUUGAAACUGAGUGUAAGUCAUGUGGAGAGAAGGCCAACCCUAACUCUUGUGUCUCUGGUAUUCACCAUGUAAUGUACCUGUUGACUAUCUUACUGUCUUGAGUUAUUGAGAAGCUUUUUUUUACACCCUUUCUUCAUCUGUCAAGAUUUUGUUUACUACCAGGCCUCCUAGCACCCAUGCUAUUCAACUUUAUGUUCAGAGCACAGUGCAAACACCGGAGCAUGUGAAGAACGCUUAGCUAGUUUCAGUUUGAUUGAUUUGUAUCAUAGACUGUACAUACUAUGGACAACUUGGUUCCGCCUUCCGCCAGUAUAUGGAUUUGAAGCCAAAAAGAGCUCUGUAUUUCCACAAUUUUUCUCCAUUUCCUGAAACCAACAUUGUGCAGUAGUGCUGUACGCACUCCAGCACUUACGCAGUAGCAUUGUACGCAUUUGUUGGGAGAGUCGCUGUGAUAACGUUCAGCUCAAACUGUGUAUCCCCUGGGUGAGCUACACAAUCUUCGUACGCCCAUAGGCUGUAUCAAGUGUCAAUAAUAGAAAACAUGAACCCCCUAAUAACUUUAAAAAUGGAGCUGCACAGAAAAAAGAGGACUCCAAUACAAACCAGUCUUACAGUAACUAUAUGUCAACAUUGCGUGUAAUUAAUUUCUAAAGUUUGUCCACAACUCCAUAAGCUUUGCAGACAGAGGCAGGAUUUAUGACCUAUACUGCAGCCCGUUACCAGAAUGUGCUGUUCUUGGGGUGGCUUUACCCAGCAAGGAGGCAGACAACAUCCAUUCUAUAUUCAGUCUAUGGUUUGUAUACAUGACAGAGAGAAUCAAUCCCCAACUGCAUAAUUCAGGUUAGGUAGUCCAACUAUAAGAAGUUCCAUUAAUGUGAUUUCAGUUAGACUAACGUGUUUACAUGAUUUUAAAAAGUUCACUCAAAGGUGGACUUUUGCAGUUAACUCAUGCUUGUCUAAACUGUCAGCUGCGCCACAUUAGUAACAUUUUUAUACAAGCUAGGCUAACUGGCUGCUGGCCAUCCAACUCACUAGCCAUGUUUACAUGAGCAAAAUUUCUCGAACAAAUUAAAAAUUUGUGGGAUCAGAAAUUCUGAAUCCACUGUUUACAUGGGUGCAAAAUCAAAUAAUCCAAUCAAGACGUGCGUAUACAUGCAACAAGCUUUUUUAAGGUUAGAAGCAUUUGGACAUGCGCAGAGUUGUCUAAUUUCACCAAAACAACUGCAGAAGAAGAAUUGUAUUUACACCUGUGCUGUUAACAAACCAACAAACGCGGUAGUGGCUCACAUCAUCCGAUUCAGAAUGGACCUGAACCAGGUUCUGAGAGAGGUUGUAUUGCACCGAGCAUUCAUGAUCAUCAAGCAAGCCCAGCAGCACAUUCUGAUCCUGCGUAACAUGAGGAGACUGUAUACAGCCAAAAACUCGUGUCAGACACUGACUUAAUUGCUCUUGGAUCCCACCAUGUUUACACCUUGUCACUAACAGUGGAAAUACGUCACAAUGUCGUAGGGUACACAUGUGCAGUCAGGUUAGUUUUGCCUGAGCAGAGAGUCACGAUUAGAAUAAGUGUUUACGGUUGGCAUAAACCACCCCUCUUGAUCAGAAUGCAAUUUCUUUCCAAUUGAGCCGAAUUGUAUCAGACUUCCGAUUAACAUGUUUAGAUGAUGCAUUUUUAUUCUGAACAGGCCUUUAUUCCGAAUAUUUGUGCCCAUGUAAACGCAGCUAUUGUAAGGAAUUGAACGUAUCAAAAUAUGACGACCAAAAUCAAAUUAUCCUUUAAAAGACAACAUUGAUGAGCUGUCACUCAAGGCCUUUGACAAAAUCCCCCAAUAAUUUAAAUUGGGACGAUGUUUUAAGUGUUGUAUGCAAAUUUUGUUGCUGUGUUUUUGUGUGUUAAUGUGCAUGCACACAGUCAUGCAUGCAUUACCCUAAUGUUGUCAUCUUGUAUUGUGCACAUAUGAGUAGAGGUCCCUUGCAAUUUUCUAUCAGCAAGAUCUGAUGUUGACAGGCAGGGUCGGGAUCAGUUCCUGGCCCUCUCAGCACGUUUUGUCUGUGGGAUCCCUGGAAUGUGCAGGAAUGCGGACUCAAGCAGGUGGAGAGGUCCUCCUCAGAGACAAACACCCAAACACAACCCUGAAUCCUCAUCUCCUUCCCCCUCUUUCUCAUCUCUCUGCCUGGUCCGUUUCUUCUAGGCCUUGCCUGACAAUUUGUCUGAAGCGUGAAUGUCAGGAAACAGCUCUCAUCUCCUCUUUUUUUAUCCAUCAGACAAAACGUAUGGGAGUAGUCAUCUGGAGAGAAAAGAAUAGUUUAACAUGAGAAUGUGUACUGUCCGGAUAUUUCAGUUGAGAGUGUGGUCUCUUGUUUCCAGCACUGGUUCAUUUAACCUAGCCGAGAAAAAAGUCAGACAGGUAUUCUUCCAGGUUAAACUGGAGAAGUAACCCUCUGGAGCAGAGCUGGAUGAAUUAAAAAAAAAAACCUUUUACUGUCAGCUCCCCUCGUCCCCCUCCACCCUCUGCCCUCCUCUCUUCCCUUCACUCAGAUUCUUAUCGUCUGUUAGAUUAUUGCUUCCUGUAGAGACCUGGAGCUGCCUCUGCUCUCUGUUUUAUGGCCCUCAUGUUCUUGAAUGAAGCACAUGGCCAAAUUAUUACAAUCCACACAAUGAAGGCAACAAAGGAGCCAGUAUUAAAACAGGUGACAGUGACAUUUUAGGAUGCACCAACAGUAUAUGUUUGACAGUUUUGAAUUUUGAAUUUGACAAAUUUCUCAUUUAAUUAAUCCCUUAAUUUCAACACUUAAUGCAUUUUCAUGCUUUAUACUUUUUUCUGGUCUUUCCUUUUUAUGCAUUGUAGUUGAUUUGUCAUUUUUCUAUUUAGAGUCUGAGAUUGUGCAGAGAAACUCAAGACUUUGCAGUGUAGUAGUGUAUUGUUUACUGUUUUUGUAGUAUAAGAGACAGACCGAUUAAUCUGGACAAUUGCCGUUGGCCCUCACAAGACUGAUAUUACUGUUUCCUUUUCUAAACACAUUUUCCUCAAAUGACAGCAAAUCUAAAACAAUCACUAGCUUGUGUUUGAUAUAGAUUUUCGUCACGAUGUACAGACAGAAGCUGGUAUACGAAUCAGACAUUUUCUGGAGUCUGUAACUUAAUCCAAUAUAAAAAAUACUCAUCAAUUGAUUUAAAAUCCAUCUAAAAUAUAUUUCUAGUCAAGAUAGCAACUUUUGUUAGAUUUAAAUGUUCAUGGAUGGGUUUCUACAUGAUUUCUCUGUUUAAUUUUACCAUGUAGUUUUUAUCUUUCUGAAUAAUUUCACAAAAGGGAUACCGUUUGAUUUUCGAAAAAAGUUCAAACCAUCUUCACGACUUCCACUGAAUUCGACAAAGUGUUUAGUUUUAUAAAGUUCUUGCUUGUACCAUCUUUUCUCGCCAUCCUGCUAGCCACCAGGAAGGAAGUUGAGGUCAGUUGUGUUAAUGUUGGUACUAUAUUAUUUGGGUAAUUUACUAAUUAAUAUACCACGGUUUUCUUUUAUCUGCAGGAUUGUGACCUAAUAAGAAAAGCUGUUAAAUGUUGUGCUGCUAGACUGCUUGUCUCUCCAUGUAUUCAGCAUUUUUUGGGCUCACUUCCUUUUUUGCUUCUUUUUUUCAAUUCCAGCUGAGUUGAUAGCAUAAUAAAGAAAAAAUGAAGCUAUUUUCCAACACAGACCAGUAAUUUUAUCUUAUAUCAUGGCGCGAAGACAGCAUAAGACCCCAAAACUACUGCUCUUGGGCAUCCUUUUAACAAAUUUUUGUCUUUUCGUUUGAAUUUUUCAACACAAAGUUAAACACACUGUUCGAAUAAAAAACACAUGUCUACAUCAUCCUGUCCUUCAUCAGCCUGACAACAGUACAGUGUGCCAGCCAUCAUCCUCCUCAGUCCCAUUAGUGCAUAAUUUCUGGGGUAACCAGAGCCACCAAGACCCCCUUUGACACCCACUCCCACACCCCCUGUCCUGUAAGACUUCUGUUCCCUCUGAUUAGAUUUGUCUCUUCAAAUUGAAUCUUACUCUGAAACAAACACCCUCUUACUCACACAAGGAUACACACAAAUACUCAUAAACAUGACACUGAAACUCUUAGUUGAUUGUUUAUGCGGUGACUCUUAUUCUCAGUAAAAGCUGCUAAUAGGAGCAAAUUACUGCCAACAACUUGGAAAUAUCGAGUGCCCGACUGCUCAGCUGUAAUGGAGUUAGUGCUGACCAAUCUGAUUAUGGGCCUCAAUGGAGCAAGGAGAAGGAUGGAUGGGAUUGGGGGAGGAGGUGAAGGGGUUGGCCUCAGGGGAAUGGGGAGUGCAGGGUACCUGGCUCCUGGAAGCUAACUGUUGCUGUUUGGCUUUAAUUGCGUUUGGAAUGGACUGUGGGUUAGAGUUGCUCCUGCCAUCCAGACUGGAGCAGGAGACGUGAUCUGAUCAGUCUUUAUUUGCAAACAUGAAACAUCUGCUGUGCUCAGGGCUGCUUUUGUCUCUCUUUAAAUAUCACAACAAUUACUGCUACAAGUCUUCUGAUCACUCACCCCGUACAGCAUUGCAAAAAAAAAAAAAAAAAAAAAAAACAGCUCAGAGAAGGAUUGUGUAGGUCCCAUGAUGCCAAACUUUGCAGCAGCUUUUAAAACAAGUUACAAUGCGAGAUGCAAUCUAUUGAGGCUUUAUUGUCUUGGGAGGACACAGCGCACCCACUGUGUCCUUUAGAGGAAAAUCCUCUAAUGCAAGUGAUCAAGAGACUGAGCAAGUUGUUUGUCUUCUACAUCACCUCUGGUUAAUGUUGAUGACGAGAAGUGAGAAAAAAGGAAACUUAAGUGUGCCUAUUCCACAUCUUUUUAAAUGUACAAUAAAUAACCUCUUGUAUUUAUGUGUUAGAAAUUCUGCUCAUUAGUUGGUUGCUCCACCAUAAAAAAAAUCACAGACAAGAGACGAGCAUAUAUCUCCUCAGUAGCCACAUUUACAUGAACACAAUUUCUUGAUCUGAUUAAAAAUUUGAGAGAUAAGAUAAUCUGAAUCCACUGUUUAUAUGGGUGCAAAAUUAAAUAACUCAAUCAUGACGUGCGUAUACAUGCACCAAGCUUUAUUCAGAUUAGAAGCAUUUGGACAUGUGCAGAGUUGUCUAAUUUUGCUAAAACAACCGCAGAAGAAGAGUUGUAUUUACGCCUGUGCUGUCAACAAACCAACAAAUGCGGUAGUGGUUCACUCAAUCCCAUUCAGGAGUUUUCCCCUGCUAAAUGUUGUCAUGAGGUGGAUCCCUUGCGUACUUAUUUUACUGUUCUGUCAAUGGUUGCUCUGUGCGUGCAGAUGUGACAUCAUUUCGCUCUAUGUACACCUUGUUAUGUUACCAGAGGAGCAGACACAGCACCUACAGUUGUGUCUUAUGCCAGAGUUUUAACGAUGAAACCCUCUGGCCUCGAUAAAUAAGCCAAAGGCUAAAGAAUGCAGAUCGGAAAUGUGUCACGGUGACGUAGGGUACACAUGUGCAGUCAGGUUAGUUUUGCCUGAACAGAGAGUCACGAUCGAAUAUAUGUUUACAAGUUUCUGAAUAACGAUCGGCAUAAACCACUCCUCUUGAUCGGUAUCCAAUUUCUUUCCAGUUGAGCCGAAUUGGAUCAGAAUCCUCCAAUUGACAUGUUUACAUGAUGCAUUUUUAUUCCGACCGGUCAUUUAUUCAGAUUAUUUAUGCCCAUGUAAAUGCAGCUACUGUAGGAUCACUCUGAGAUUAGGAAUUACUUUCAUUCAAAGAGUUUAAGACUAUUCUGAGGAAAAUUUGGAGCUAAGCCUGUGAUUGGCAUCACAAGGCACCAGGAAGCGGAUAACUAAAAAAUGUCUUCAAGAAAACAUGGCAACAUAUUUUCAAAAAUACUUUAAGUAUUGGGUUUAGUGUUGUGGAUUAACUGUGCAGAACUAUACAUGUAUUUUCAUGACUCAAAUAUGUUAAAAAUCAAGUGCAAGUAAUUUUGAUCGGGUACAUGUUGAGACUUGUGAGGAAAAGAAGGUGAUUGGUCAAAUUUGCAGAAAUAAAUGGCAAGAUCCCAAAAAUGAUCCAAGGACUAGUUAAAGAUUGUGACAUCUUAGAACACUAAUAAAUGAUAUGUAAGACCUUAAAUGUGGGAUAUUGACGUUUAAUUGUAGAGGUGAGUAGCUCUCCUUUUCAGGGAGAUCCAACGUGUACAAGUCCAUUUAAUCUUUUUUACAGUCUCCUCUUUACCAGGUGAUAACAUGAAUAUUUACAGAAAUAAGCAAAACCUUGACCGGGAGAGAAAGUCCUGGUUGUUUCCUCUGUGUUACCAGAAUAGUACCAUAUUAUCUGAAGUAUUUAAGUUUUUUUACUUCUCCAGGAGGUAAAACAUUAGACUGUCAGAAGUAUCUGCUCUUGGAAAAAAAAAAAAAACUCUUCCUUUAAAGCUUAUAUAUUCCCGGCAGAAUUGGACUACUCCUGUUGCACUAAAAUGCUUGAGAUGAUUGAAAGUUUUAUUGAGGUCAAGAACAUGUGACGCUUCUUAAGGUCGGAGCAGCAGUUACGGCCUUGUUGUGUUUGUUUUUGUUCUGCUGUGUGAGAGACAUCAGGCUGACAUCGACCCUGGAGGUCAACAAGAACACAGCUCUCAGCUUGCUGGGUCGGCUUUGUUUGACGUCUGGAAAUGUUCGACUGGUAACUCAAACCAGGUCUGUUAAUCACAGCUAAUACAAGUUUGAUGCCGAUGUAUUUUUCCCCUCUAUCUUCCUCUUCAUUUAGCCUCCAUUACCUCUGCCUUGCUUCCUCAUUCCCCAUCUCCUGUCCUCCCUCCUCCUCCUCUUUUCUGUCUCCCUGUGGUACCCGCUCCCCUCAGGCAUCCCAAACCUCAUUUACACAGAAAUGUUUAGCCAGCACAGGAAGCAACCCGUGCCCUUAACAAAAUUACGGCCCAGCCAGCGAAUGAGCCGCGGGGCUGGUCUGUAGGGACCAAUCACAGAGGGGCUGGGCUCUACCACUUCCUGCAUUGUUGAACUCAAAUUGCUGACUUUUUAGUGCCCCCACCUUUUCUAUUCUAGACAACUUUGUACCCAACUGAGAGCUUACCUCCAACAUCGUGAAGCAAUAUGCUCCUAACAGCUUUUAUAUGAGCUGCUUUAAAUGAUGUUAAUGAUAAGAGCUGUAAUGAUGGUGAUGUAAAUGCACUGAGUGCUGUGUUAACAGAGACAGGGUGCUCGGCUGUGCUCUGAUCACUAUCUCUGCGGCGCCUCAGUAAUUUAGCUCUGAAGUUGGCUCUAUUAAUGGGCCUCUGCUUUUCCUUUUCCCUCUCAUAUCCUUUUAAUCUCCCUGUCCCUGGAUUCCAUUUUACAUCCUCUUGUCCUUCUCCAGCCAGUUCAGAAAAGGAUCAUACUGGUUUUAAACUUUAUAAGCACAUCACUGCUGUGGCAAAAAACAACUCAUGCCCAGAGGAUUUCUUUUAGAAGAACAGGCUGUACGUUGUUAAAGUAGUGACAACAAAGUUUAAAAAAGCAUACACUAGUGGGCUGUAUUCACUUGGGAAAUAAACUGCUGUCAUAUCUGAACUGACAAGAUAGUUUUCUUAUUAUUACCAGAAGUUUUUAUUUUAUUUUUUUUUAAUGAAUGAGAAAGUGGUACUUAAAAAUAUCAACAGUAGUUUUCAUUUAGACCAAUCAAGGAAACAAGCAUGUUCUGACAUUUUGGUUCAACCUAGUUUUACUCUGGUUUGGCUUUGAGGCAUGAUGGACGCUUGUGUCUGUAAGUAAUGUGGAGGUCAUCGUAUGAGCUGUUGUUCAAGUGCAAAGCCAAUUUUGAUCCACUAGUUCCUGAAGUGUUUUGUGAGUUAAUCUGGAAUGUAAUAUGAAUAAAGGAUGAAAUUAAAGGAUGAUAAUUAUCUAGCUAAUUCAGAGAAAAAUCUGAAGGAAGUUUUAUUUCCGAGUGAACACAAUAAGAUUCGGUCAAAACAGAAACAAUAGUCCCAAAAUGUGCCAUGGCAGAAACAGACUGGAUUUAAAAAAAAACAGAUUCAUGUGCCCUAAGUGCUGCAAAUUAAAAAUACAAUAAACCAAGAAAAGAAAUGCAAACAGAGGAAUACAGUCUUCACAGCAGGAGGGCUUUAGGAAACAAUUUUAGGCUGUUUAUACAUCACUCACCAUUUUGUAUUUGCGUUUUUUCACCUCUGCGUUGUUUGCACUUGUUUUGAAUUUGCAGCCUUUUAUCACAUCAUAGAAAUCUGUUGGGCUGCUGCAGUGUUUUUGCACUUUUCUGCCAUCACAGUUAUGUGCAUAUAAAGUAGAUACAGCAUCGUGUCGCAAUAUUUUGUCUCGUGAUAUAUCAUAUCGUCUCAUUUACCAAGUAUCAAUUUUUUCAAAAUAGUUGUUGAUAUGAAGUCAAAUCUAUGAUAAUGGAAAAAUAAAAUCGACUGGUUGUCCAGUGAGGUUGGCAGAGGUGACAUCACAGAGCAGGAGAAAGUUAGUUUAACAAAUUUAUAUAAGGUUUGCAAGAUGUGCUACAUGAAAAUAAAAUACUGUGUAAAUGAGACAAACAUAAAGGAAAGCCAGCGUAAAUUAGCUAAACAGUUGAAAAAUUGUAUAAAUCUCAAUAUAUUGUAUUGCAAAACUCACUGUAUUGUAAAAUGUUAAAAAUCGCAAUAAUAUCGUAUUGUGGCCCUAGUAUUGUGAUAAUAUCGUACUGUAGGGCCACUAGUGAUUCCCACCCCUAAUAUCAAACUCUUCAAAGACAGACUAACAACGUUAAAAAUACAUUUAGUAUUUACAAAACAGCAUGCCACAAAUUUGUGUAAAAUGAUGCAUUUUUUUCAAAUCUCUGUGUCUCUGGGUGCAUCAGGUGCAAGUCUUCAUAAUAUCGACUGAAAAACCUCAAUGGUGCCAUUUAUUGCUUUCAAUGAGUUAUCCCAAGGAUGAUUUAUUCUCCGUUUGAUUCAUGGUUAAUAUUCAAGCGUUGUCCUUGGUCUCAAAAAGGACCAAGAUGCCACUUAAACAACCACCCUCUCUGCUCCUCCCCCUUGAAUCUGUUUCAGUAUGCAUCAGGGACUCUGGAGGGGUAUAACCAUGUGAGAUAUCUCUCUCUCGCUCAUUCCAAUCAGCUCUCCCUCCAUGCCCUCCGCUCAGGUAAUUAACUUCUCCCUCCCACCUCCAUCCGCUUCACGCCCAGCCUCCCUCUGCUCCUUAUCUGCACUCCUUUCAGACUGUUAAAACUAUCAGCCUCCUUCUCCCUGUCCCCCCUUGUCUAAUUCCUCAUACUGAAGGUGAGGAAUAGGUAGAAACUAAUCCAGACCCCUCCACCACUUCCACCCACCAUCCCAUGCUCUCACCACCUGAAUCGCUUUCUGCCUUUUUUUGUCCUCUUUUUAAAAGAAAGGGUGAUUUUCACCUUCAGUUUGAAUGGAGAUUGAAGAGCCAGAGAUUGGAUUAAUCAGACAUGUUAUCCUGAUCGGUGAAAGAGAGACUUGAUCGCUGCUUGCUAUAACCUGAUUAGGAUACACCCUUACGUGCACACACACACAGACACAGACUGAGGAGGUAAGGCGAGCAAAGACAGGCUACAUCUUUGACUUUUCUACGAACUGUGAGGGAUUAAAGGAGAUUGUAAUUGCUUUUUCUCUCCUCUCUUUCAGUUCAUUUGUAUUGACAACUUGUUUCUCAUCUGUCGCAGAGCAGGAAGGUCACAGAUCUAUGAAAAGAGUCGAGCGGCCUCUUGACAAAGAUGGCACAAAUGUAGGGCUGGAGAAAAAAAAAGGUGGAAGCUUUCAUCCUUUCUCCGGCGAGGCCUCUUAUGUAAUAUUCAUGAUGCAAUUCAGGACAUCUUUAAAAGGUAACAGUGUUCAGUAAUGAAUGGAGAGUACAAAGACAGGUACAAUCUCAGACAGAUAAUCUCUGUCAUAAUUACCAUAAUGUGAUAAAAAAAAAAGAGUCCUGAUUGAAAUUAAGCAGAAAGACAUGUGUCGCUCUCAUGCCUGCCUUCAUUCUCCUCCGACUCUCAGUAUUUAUAUCCGUCUCUAAUAGCCUGUGACUCACAGUGUGUGGCACCGCUCACUGAGUUAGAGGUCAAGUGUUAAGUGUUGUGUGUGCGCUAAGGAUUCGUUCCAGAUCGCGUGUGGUUAACUGAGACGAUGUCGAGUGUGCUGUUAAAAAUUUGUUUCGGCUCACAGACUCAGCUGAACUGCAUCGUAAAAAUAGUCAGCAGUGAGUCCCCAAAACAAAAGGAUCACAUCAGUGUUUGCAGAAUUUACAGCCUGCAAGAAGGGGAUUUCUUCGACUGUAAGAGGACAGGAAGAGCUGCAGAAAGAGAUAAAUCUGUGUGUUCAGUGUGUAUUUAAAACACUUUUAGUUUUUAAGUGUUGAAUAAGAACUAAUGAAUACUUAUUACCACUCAAAAUGGUUGUUAUAAGGCCUCAUAGAUGGAUUUAUAAAGCUUUAUAAACAUGCUUAUGAUGCUUAUAUAAGGGGGUCAUAUAAAAUAUUACCAAACUAUGUUUUAAAACUCUUGUUAGGAGUUUAAAUUAGGUUAUUGAAUGGACUGUGAUUUUAUGCUGAGGUAUUUGUAUAAACUAACAAAGCAAACCAGUCCAUGAAAAACAAAACUGAAAUACUCUGUGUACAGAGAUGAACAGUGAUUUCCAAAAAUGGCACAAACCAGAACUUUGACACAAGAGCGCUAAAAAAACUAUCAAAGAGUUUUAAAGACCCACUCCAAUGAUAAUCAAGUUUUUCUUGUUUUUUUGUAUGUUCAAAUGGCAUUUUUCUGAUGCUUCAGGACAAAUCAUGAAAAAACUAAAUGCGAAAUUGUUUUUCUGAAUAUUUCUUCAUUAAAUCACUGUGAAUCUCUGGCAGACCCAAACGGCAGGUUCAGAAACAGUGAGGUUUUAUACGUAACCAAUCCAAGCUCCGCCCUCGGAGCCCCGCUAUGCAGUUGACACUCUGAUAAAAGAGAGGACAAUUGCGGAGCAAGCGUGUGCGUAAGUGGAUUGCAAUGCUCGCAAGAAAGCUGAUUAUGAUUAUAGCUUUCAUCACGUACCUUAAGACAUUGGUGUCUGAGAGCUGAAUAGCUCCUAUGUUAGCUGCCACUUCUUCGAAACUGGCAAUGUUAGGCUGCAAGCAAACGUGAAGAUGAGUGUGCAGUGCAGCGCUGUCUCUGCCCAUGACUCCGCCCAUGACUCCAAGGUGAAUU